Molecule: ribosomal RNA, 864 nt
Filed under: uncultured bacterium
Lineage: Bacteria
Description: bacterial SSU rRNA
Rfam family: Bacterial small subunit ribosomal RNA
Source: RNAcentral
AGAGUUUGAUCAUGGCUCAGGAUGAACGCUAGCGGGAGGCCUAAUACAUGCAAGUCGAGCGGUAGAGAUACUUCGGUAUUUUGAGAGCGGCGCACGGGUGAGUAACGCGUACAUGACCUACCUUUAAGACUGGGAUAGCCCCGGGAAACUGGGAUUAAUACCGGAUGUGAUAAUAGAUAUAAGGAUUUAUUAUUAAAGCUGAGGCGCUUAGAGAUGGAUGUGCGUCUGAUUAGCUAGUUGGUAGGGUAACGGCCUACCAAGGCGACGAUCAGUAGGGGGCGUGAGAGCGUGACCCCCCACACGGGUACUGAGACACGGACCCGACUCCUACGGGAGGCAGCAGUAAGGAAUAUUGGUCAAUGGACGAAAGUCUGAACCAGCCAUCCCGCGUGCAGGAUGACGGCCCUAUGGGUUGUAAACUGCUUUUAGCAGAGAAGAAAAGCAUUCAUUCAUGAGUGUCUGACGGUAUCUGCAGAAUAAGCACCGGCUAACUCCGUGCCAGCAGCCGCGGUAAUACGGAGGGUGCGAGCGUUAUCCGGAAUUACUGGGUUUAAAGGGUGCGUAGGCGGGAUAUUAAGUCAGUGGUGAAAUCUUGUCGCUUAACGAUAAAAUUGCCAUUGAUACUGGUAUUCUUGAAUUGGGUUGAGGUUAGCGGAAUGUGACAUGUAGCGGUGAAAUGCAUAGAUAUGUCAUGGAACACCAAUUGCGAAGGCAGCUAACUGGGCCUUGAUUGACGCUGAGGCACGAAAGCGUGGGUAGCGAACAGGAUUAGAUACCCUGGUAGUCCACGCCCUAAACGAUGCUAACUCGAUGUUUGGGCUAUACGCUUGAGCAUCCAAGGGAAACCGAUAAGUAGCCCCCUGG